RNAcentral lists this ribosomal RNA (2905 nucleotides) under Clostridium perfringens. RNAcentral's name for it is "23S ribosomal RNA". It matches the Rfam family "Bacterial large subunit ribosomal RNA". Lineage: Bacteria; Bacillati; Bacillota; Clostridia; Eubacteriales; Clostridiaceae. The record is from RNAcentral.
GGUCAAGCUACAAAGGGCGCAUGGUGAAUGCCUUGGCAUCAGGAGCCGAUGAAGGACGUGAUAAGCUGCGAUAAGCUUCGGGUAGGCGCACAUAGCCUGAGAUCCGAAGAUCUCCGAAUGAGGAAACUCACAUGGGAAACCCCAUGUAUCAUUAAGUGAAUACAUAGCUUAAUGAAGGUAACCCAGGGAACUGAAACAUCUAAGUACCUGGAGGAAGAGAAAGAAAAAUCGAUUUUCUUAGUAGCGGCGAGCGAAAGGGAAAGAGCCCAAACCGGAAACUUGUUUCCGGGGUUGUGGACAUAGCAUAAAAGUGGAGGCUAUUGUAACUGAAGAGAACUGGAAAGUUCCACCGUAGAAGGUAAUAGUCCUGUAAGUGAAACGAGAAGACCACGAGUUAUGAUCCAGAGUACCACGAGACACGUGAAACCUUGUGGGAAGCAGGGAGGACCACCUCCCAAGGCUAAAUACUACCUGAUGACCGAUAGUGAAGCAGUACCGUGAGGGAAAGGUGAAAAGAACCCCGGGAGGGGAGUGAAAUAGAACCUGAAACCGUGUGCCUACAACCGCUCAGAGCCCCUUAUGAGGGUGAUGAGGUGCUUUUUGUAGAACGAGCCAACGAGUUACGGUAUGUAGCAAGGUUAAGUACUUAAGGUACGGAGCCGAAGGGAAACCGAGUCUGAAUAGGGCGACUAGUUGCAUGCCGUAGACCCGAAACCGGGUGACCUAUCCAUGGCCAGGUUGAAGCGAGGGUAAAACCUCGUGGAGGACCGAACCACGUUGCUGUUGAAAAAGCAUGGGAUGAGCUGUGGAUAGCGGAGAAAUUCCAAUCGAACCCGGAGAUAGCUGGUUCUCUCCGAAAUAGCUUUAGGGCUAGCGUCGAGUAUGAGUAGUGGAGGUAGAGCACUGAAUGGGCUAGGGGGCAUAGCGCUUACCGAACCUUAUCAAACUCCGAAUGCCACAUACUUUGAGCUCGGCAGUCAGACUACGAAUGAUAAGAUCCGUGGUCAAAAGGGAAACAGCCCAGAUCGUCAGCUAAGGUCCCAAAGUGUAAGUUAAGUGGGAAAGGAUGUGAGAUUUCUAAGACAACUAGGAUGUUGGCUUAGAAGCAGCCAUUCAUUAAAAGAGUGCGUAAUAGCUCACUAGUCGAGAGAUCUUGCGCCGAAAAUGUAACGGGGCUAAACUUACCACCGAAGCUACGGGCUUGAACUUAGUUCAAGCGGUAGGAGAGCGUCGUAACCGGGCUGAAGUCGUACCGUAAGGAGCGGUGGACUGGUUACGAGUGAGAAUGUUGGCAUCAGUAGCGAGAUGUGGGUGAGAAUCCCACAGGCCGAAAACCUAAGGUUUCCUCAGGAAGGUUCGUCCGCUGAGGGUUAGUCGGGACCUAAGCCGAGGCCGAAAGGCGUAGGUGAUGGACAACUGGUUGAUAUUCCAGUACCACUACCAUCGUUAUUAUCGAUGGCGUGACGCAGGAGGAUAGUGUGUGCUAGCUAUUGGAUGCUAGUCUAAGCGUUUAGGCAGUGAGAGUAGGCAAAUCCGCUCUCAUAAUGCUGAGGCGUGAUGGGGAAGGUUCUACGGAACCGAAGUACAUGAUUCCACGCUGCCAAGAAAAGCGUCUAGAGAGAGAAGUAGUGCCCGUACCGCAAACCGACACAGGUAGGUGAGGAGAGAAUCCUAAGGCCUGCGGAAGAAUUACAGUUAAGGAACUCGGCAAAUUGACCCCGUAAGUUCGCGAGAAGGGGUGCCUACGAGAGUAGGCCGCAGAGAAUAGGCCCAAGCAACUGUUUAGCAAAAACACAGGUCUCUGCUAAAGCGUAAGCUGAUGUAUAGGGGCUGACGCCUGCCCGGUGCUGGAAGGUUAAGGGGAACACUUAGCGCAAGCGAAGGUGUGAACUUAAGCCCCAGUAAACGGCGGCCGUAACUAUAACGGUCCUAAGGUAGCGAAAUUCCUUGUCAGGUAAGUUCUGACCCGCACGAAUGGCGUAAUGACUUGGGCACUGUCUCAACUGUAAAUCCGGCGAAGUUGUAGUGCGAGUGAAGAUGCUCGCUACCCGCGAUUGGACGGAAAGACCCCGUAGAGCUUUACUGUAGCUUAGCAUUGAGUUUUGGUAUUGUCUGUACAGGAUAGGUGGGAGACUAGGAAACCAGGGCGUCAGCCUUGGUGGAGUCAACCUUGGGAUACCACCCUGACAGUACUGAAAUUCUAACUGGCGGCCAUGAAUCUGGUCACAGGACAUUGUUAGGUGGGCAGUUUGACUGGGGCGGUCGCCUCCUAAAAAGUAACGGAGGCGCCCAAAGGUUCCCUCAGAACGGUCGGAAAUCGUUCGAAGAGUGCAAAGGCAGAAGGGAGCCUGACUGCGACACCCACAAGUGGAGCAGGGACGAAAGUCGGGCUUAGUGAUCCGGUGGUACCUCGUGGGAGGGCCAUCGCUCAACGGAUAAAAGCUACCUCGGGGAUAACAGGCUGAUCUCCCCCAAGAGUCCACAUCGACGGGGAGGUUUGGCACCUCGAUGUCGGCUCGUCGCAUCCUGGGGCUGAAGUAGGUCCCAAGGGUUGGGCUGUUCGCCCAUUAAAGCGGCACGCGAGCUGGGUUCAGAACGUCGUGAGACAGUUCGGUCCCUAUCCGUCGCGGGCGUAGGAAAUUUGAGAGGAGCUGUCCUUAGUACGAGAGGACCGGGAUGGACUGACCUCUGGUGUACCAGUUGUUCCGCCAGGAGCACAGCUGGGUAGCUAAGUCGGGAAUGGAUAAACGCUGAAAGCAUCUAAGCGUGAAGCCAACCUCAAGAUGAGAUUUCCCAUAGCGUAAGCUAGUAAGAUCCCUUGAAGAACACAAGGUUGAUAGGUCGGGGGUGUAAGCAUGGUAACAUGUUCAGCUGACCGAUACUAAUAGAUCGAGGGCUUGACCAA